This 247-nucleotide ribosomal RNA is filed under the name uncultured prokaryote. RNAcentral describes it as "partial 16S ribosomal RNA". It matches the Rfam family "Bacterial small subunit ribosomal RNA", at positions 524 to 772 of the family's 1533-position model. The record is from RNAcentral.
UACGGAGGAUGCAAGCGUUAUCCGGAUUCAUUGGGUUUAAAGGUGCGUAGGCUGACUAUUAAGUCAGUGGUGAAAGCCUGCAGCUUAACUGCAGAACUGCCAUUGAUACUGAUAGUCUUGAGUUUGGUUAAGUAGGCGGAAUGUGUAAUGUAGCGGUGAAAUGCUUAGAUAUUACACAGAACACCAAUUGCGUAGGCAGCUUACUGAGCCGACACUGAACGCUGAGGCACGAAAGCUGGGGAUCAAA